GUCUACCUGGUACUGGAAGAAGAGUCAUGAGAAAGGGUACUGGGAAGGUUCCCAGUGAUCUUUCCUAAGUGUUUCCAGCCCAGCGCAAGAGUUGUGAGCGUGGGUCCAAGGCACGAUUCUGGUCUUUGUUAGACGCAGUUCUCACCUUUACACGGAUGGUGUUCAAGUUUUCUCCAGGCCAAGGUGUGGGGGUAAAUGGGACCUGUUACUCCAUCUUGGCUGAGGGCAGAUCUCUAGCAGCUCACUUCUCACCGUGCU
This is a long non-coding RNA of Callorhinus ursinus (northern fur seal), 258 nucleotides long. RefSeq lists it as uncharacterized. The record is from RefSeq and is a predicted model, not a curated record. Lineage: Eukaryota; Metazoa; Chordata; Mammalia; Carnivora; Otariidae.